ACUCGAGUGGCGAACGGGUGAGUAACACGUGGGUGAUCUGCCUUGCACUCUGGGAUAAGCUUGGGAAACUGGGUCUAAUACCGGAUAGGAACCGUCUUUAGUGUGGUGGUUGGAAAGUUUUUCGGUGCAAGAUGAGCUCGCGGCCUAUCAGCUUGUUGGUGGGGUAAUGGCCUACCAAGGCGGCGACGGGUAGCCGGCCUGAGAGGGUGUACGGCCACAUUGGGACUGAGAUACGGCCCAG
This 241-nucleotide ribosomal RNA is filed under the name uncultured Actinomycetales bacterium. RNAcentral's name for it is "partial 16S ribosomal RNA". It matches the Rfam family "Bacterial small subunit ribosomal RNA", at positions 89 to 334 of the family's 1533-position model. The record is from RNAcentral. Lineage: Bacteria; Bacillati; Actinomycetota; Actinomycetes; Actinomycetales.